This is a long non-coding RNA of Pipistrellus kuhlii (Kuhl's pipistrelle), 966 nucleotides long. RefSeq lists it as uncharacterized. NCBI's taxonomy places the organism in Eukaryota, Metazoa, Chordata, Mammalia, Chiroptera, Vespertilionidae. The record is from RefSeq and is a predicted model, not a curated record. The transcript is spliced from 2 exons.
UGGGCUGCAGUGUCCUCAUCUGUGCAACGGGGCUGCUCUGAUGUGUAGGACACACUGGAAAUGUGUCUGCAGCCAUGCACAUCCGGAAUAAUGCACCCCAAAGUCAGAAUGAGAUGCAGCGACACAUGAGAUGAUGGGGUGCAGGGGUGGGGAGGGGAAAAAAAAACACACAGGUUUUCACUUUUAAAACGGUAUAUUUUGAAUUUGUAACCGCAAGGGUUACCUGUGUUAUAUUUAAAAAUAAAUAAUAUAUUUGUUUAAUAUUUUAUUUUAAAUUAUUUAUUUAAACAAAUAAUAUAUAAAAUGGCUGAUAGAGAAUAGGUGAUAAAUGGUCACUACUAUUUAUUUAUUUAUUUAUUUAUUUAUUUAUUUUUAGAGGAGCAAAUGAGCGCAGGCCCCCCCCACGUUAUGCUGGCGUUUCCCACAUUUGGGGAAAUCUCGGGGGUCAGCACAUGUGGAGAGUAAUGGAUAAGCCUCGCCCUGAGAAAACCACCUUGGCGAUCAAUGUAUCUCCCCUGCCAGCUCACACGCCACAUAAAUCAAGACUCAGCAUCGUGUGAAGACUGAAAGCCGCCCGGUCCUGAUGCCCAGAGUUCUUCGCGGUCGCAGACGCCCUCUCGGAGCCCAGCAAGUCUCAGCAGGGAGCGCCCGUGAUCGAGUACGUCCGUGUGUUCUCACAGCAGGCCUGGCCUCGGUGCCAGGGGCGGGGGGGAAAAGUGAUGUUGCUCUUGGGGCAGAACCUGUCUUUCUGACUAAGAAAUCUGGCAGCAGAGACGCCAGCAGGACCAAGAUCUGUAACGUCGUCUCGGCUUGGCAGGCUCUUGGUGCCUUGGGGUUCCUGGACCAGAAUGUGAGGUGCUGGCCCUGGCUGGGUGACUCAGUUAGUUGGGGCAUCCUCCUGCUAUGCCAAGGUUUUAGGUUUGAUCGCUGGUCAGGGAACAUAUAAGAAUCAACCAGUGAAUGCAU